This 741-nucleotide ribosomal RNA is filed under the name Streptomyces xanthophaeus. RNAcentral's name for it is "bacterial SSU rRNA". It matches the Rfam family "Bacterial small subunit ribosomal RNA", at positions 76 to 832 of the family's 1533-position model. The record is from RNAcentral. Lineage: Bacteria; Bacillati; Actinomycetota; Actinomycetes; Kitasatosporales; Streptomycetaceae.
UCCUUCGGGAGGGGAUUAGUGGCGAACGGGUGAGUAACACGUGGGCAAUCUGCCCUUCACUCUGGGACAAGCCCUGGAAACGGGGUCUAAUACCGGAUAAUACUGCGGAUCGCAUGGUCUGUGGUUGAAAGCUCCGGCGGUGAAGGAUGAGCCCGCGGCCUAUCAGCUUGUUGGUGGGGUGAUGGCCUACCAAGGCGACGACGGGUAGCCGGCCUGAGAGGGCGACCGGCCACACUGGGACUGAGACACGGCCCAGACUCCUACGGGAGGCAGCAGUGGGGAAUAUUGCACAAUGGGCGAAAGCCUGAUGCAGCGACGCCGCGUGAGGGAUGACGGCCUUCGGGUUGUAAACCUCUUUCAGCAGGGAAGAAGCGAAAGUGACGGUACCUGCAGAAGAAGCGCCGGCUAACUACGUGCCAGCAGCCGCGGUAAUACGUAGGGCGCAAGCGUUGUCCGGAAUUAUUGGGCGUAAAGAGCUCGUAGGCGGCUUGUCACGUCGGAUGUGAAAGCCCGGGGCUUAACCCCGGGUCUGCAUUCGAUACGGGCAGGCUAGAGUGUGGUAGGGGAGAUCGGAAUUCCUGGUGUAGCGGUGAAAUGCGCAGAUAUCAGGAGGAACACCGGUGGCGAAGGCGGAUCUCUGGGCCAUUACUGACGCUGAGGAGCGAAAGCGUGGGGAGCGAACAGGAUUAGAUACCCUGGUAGUCCACGCCGUAAACGUUGGGAACUAGGUGUUGGCGACAU